GGUUCGAUGGCCGGCGGUUCAGAUACGGCUGAAACUGUUACCUUAACUUGUGCCCGAUGCGGCAAACCUUCCCAUCUUCAGUGUCCAAAGUGUAUGGAUUUAAAGCUUCCUCGUGAGGGUGCCGCCUUCUGUUCUCAGGAUUGUUUCAAGGCAUCUUGGAGCACUCACAAAUCAGUACAUUUAAAAGCAAAAGUGUCCUUGAUAGGGACUGGUAAUUCUGGGGAACAGAAUUCAGAUCUUGCAAACGAAGG
This 251-nucleotide unclassified non-coding RNA is filed under the name Hevea brasiliensis (rubber tree). The record is from RNAcentral. Lineage: Eukaryota; Viridiplantae; Streptophyta; Magnoliopsida; Malpighiales; Euphorbiaceae.